This 148-nucleotide non-coding RNA is filed under the name Homo sapiens (human). The record is from Rfam by way of RNAcentral. Lineage: Eukaryota; Metazoa; Chordata; Mammalia; Primates; Hominidae.
GCUGGGCAUGGUGGCGCAUGCCUGUAGUCCCAGCUACUCAGGAGGCUGAGGCAGAAGAAUUGCUUGAACCCAGGAAGUGGAGGUUGCAGUGAGCCGAGAUUGCACUACUGCACUCCAGCCUGGGUGACAGAGCAAGACUCUAUCUCAA